AAGAAGAAAGAGUAGGCUGCUAACCUACAAUGUAGCUAAGAGUUAUCUUCUUG
RNAcentral lists this transfer RNA (53 nucleotides) under Mesobuthus eupeus (lesser Asian scorpion). RNAcentral describes it as "tRNA-Ser". Lineage: Eukaryota; Metazoa; Arthropoda; Arachnida; Scorpiones; Buthidae. The record is from RNAcentral.